UGAGGCAAAAGGAGGCCUCUGCAUGCAAGCUUCCGCUUGAGGAUGGGCCCGCGCACCAUUAGCUAGUUGGCGGGGUAAUGGCCCACCAAGGCGACGAUGGUUAGCUGGUCUGAGAGGAUGAUCAGCCACACUGGAACUGACACACGGUCCAGACUCCUACGGGAGGCAGCAGUGGGGAAUAUUGCGCAAUGGGGGAAACCCUGACGCAGCAACGCCGCGUGUGCGACGAAGGCCUUCGGGUCGUAAAGCACUGUCAGGAGGAAAGAACGUGUCGGCGGUUAAUACCCGUCGGCAUUGACGGUACCUCCGAAGGAAGCACCGGCUAACUCCGUGCCAGCAGCCGCGGUAAUACGGAGGGUGCAAGCGUUGUUCGGAAUUACUGGGCGUAAAGCGCGUGUAGGCGGCUCGUUUAGUCCGAUGUGAAAGCCCUGGGCUUAACUCAGGAAGUGCAUUGGAUACUGGCGGGCUUGAGUACGGGAGAGGAGAGUGGAAUUCCUAGUGUAGAGGUGAAAUUCGUAGAUACUAGGAGGAACACCAGUGGCGAAGGCGGCUCUCUGGCCCGAUACUGACGCUGAGACGCGAAAGCGUGGGGAGCAAACAGGAUUAGAUACCCUGGUAGUCCACGCGGUAAACGAUGGGCGCUAGGUGUAGGAGGUGUUGACCCCUCCUGUGCCGUAGCUAACGCAUUAAGCGCCCCGCCUGGGGAGUACGGUCGCAAGACUAAAACUCAAAGGAAUUGACGGGGACCCGCACAAGCGGUGGAGCAUGUGGUUCAAUUCGACGCAACGCGAAGAACCUUACCUGGGUUUGAACUUGCGGAGACCGCCUCGGAAACGAGGUUUGCCUUCCUUCGGGGAGGACCUGCGUGAGAGGUGCUGCAUGGCUGUCGUCAGCUCGUGUCGUGAGAUGUUGGGUUAAGUCCCGCAACGAGCGCAACCCUUGUCCCUAAUUGCCAGCAUUCAGUUGGGCACUUUAGGGAGACUGCCGGCUCUUAAGCCGGAGGAAGGUGGGGAUGACGUCAAGUCCUCAUGGCCUUUAUGCCCAGGGCUACACACGUGCUACAAUGGCCGGUACAAAGGGUCGCAAUCCCGCGAGGGGGAGCCAAUCCCAAAAAUCCGGUCUCAGUUCGGAUUGGAGUCUGCAAUUCGACUCCAUGAAGUCGGAGUCGCUAGUAAUCGCGUAUCAGCACGACGCGGUGAAUACGUUCCCGGGUCUUGUACACACCGCCCGUCACACCAUGGGAGUGGGGUGCAACAGAAGUCGCUGUGCCAACCGCAAGGAGGCAAGCGCCUAAGUUGUGUCUCAUGACUGGGGUGAAGUCGUAACAAGGUA
Molecule: ribosomal RNA, 1332 nt
Filed under: metagenome
Description: bacterial SSU rRNA
Rfam family: Bacterial small subunit ribosomal RNA
Source: RNAcentral